RNAcentral lists this ribosomal RNA (460 nucleotides) under uncultured bacterium. RNAcentral describes it as "partial 16S ribosomal RNA". It matches the Rfam family "Bacterial small subunit ribosomal RNA", at positions 338 to 795 of the family's 1533-position model. The record is from RNAcentral.
CCUACGGGUGGCAGCAGUGAGGAAUAUUGGUCAAUGGGCGCGAGCCUGAACCAGCCAAGUAGCGUGAAGGAUGACUGCCCUACGGGUUGUAAACUUCUUUUAUAAAGGAAUAAAGUGAGGCAUGUGUGCCUUUUUGUAUGUACGUUAUGAAUAAGGAUCGGCUAACUCCGUGCCAGCAGCCGCGGUAAUACGGAGGAUUCGAGGGUUUUCCGGAUUGAUUGGGUUUAAAGGGAGCGUAGAUGGGUUGUUAAGUCAGUUGUGAAAGUUUGCGGCUCAACCGUAAAAUUGCAAUUGAUACUGGCAGUCUUGAGUACAGUUGAGGUAGGCGGAAUUCGUGGUGUAGCGGUGAAAUGCGUAGAUAUCACGAAGAACUCCGGUUGCGAAGGCAGCUUACUAAACUGCCACUGACAUUGAUGCUCGAAAGUGUGGGUAUCAAACAGGAUUAGAUACCCCUGUAGUC